Long non-coding RNA from Hemicordylus capensis (graceful crag lizard), 339 nucleotides. RefSeq lists it as uncharacterized. The record is from RefSeq and is a predicted model, not a curated record. The transcript has 3 exons. NCBI's taxonomy places the organism in Eukaryota, Metazoa, Chordata, Lepidosauria, Squamata, Cordylidae.
CUCCUUGAUCGGCUCCACGCGCAUCUUCUCGCGGGGCAGGAGGGCCUCGUAGCAGGGGGCAUAGCCUGGUGGGGGCAGGAACUUGAAGUCUCCGUGACGGCCCCCUAGGAGGAAGCGCACCCUACAAGGGGGAGAAAGAGAGAAAGAGCGUCAGGGACCACCUAAUGGCGCAGUGGGAGAAAUGACUUGACUAGCAAGCCAGAGGUUGCGGUUCGAAUCCCAUCUGGCUAAACAUACCCAGCUCCUUAGCCUGCCUCGCCUGUUCGCCCCACCUGUGCCCACAGGACCAGGCGGACUCACUUGAUGCCUGCAGAGAAGCUGACCACAGGGAAGAAGAGC